Brienomyrus brachyistius is the source of this 5440-nucleotide long non-coding RNA. RefSeq lists it as uncharacterized. The record is from RefSeq and is a predicted model, not a curated record. The transcript has 3 exons. NCBI's taxonomy places the organism in Eukaryota, Metazoa, Chordata, Actinopteri, Osteoglossiformes, Mormyridae.
UCGAGACUAGAUGGUCAGUAUGGAUAACUAAGGUGCACUAAAAUUGGGGGAGCAGGCAAGGCAUGUCGCCCCAGUUGUGUGACAAUUACUUUAUAUAUAUCUAUAUAUAUAGUCCAUCCACCAUCCCUCCUUUACGGAGAACUGCGUUAUUUUUAUUGUCCAUUGCGAAAAAAAAAAAGAAGAAAUAUCUAUAUAUAUAUAUACACAUAUAUAUAUAUGGGUGUAUCGAGACUAGAUGGUCAGGUUGGAUAACUAAGGUGCACUAAACUUGGGGGAGCAGGCACGGCAUGUCACCCCAGGUGUGUGAAAAUUAUUUGAUAUAUAUAUGUAUAUAUAUAUAUUCCAUCCACCAUCCCUCCUUCACGGAGAACUGCGUUAUUUUUAUUGUCCAUUGCGAAAAAAAACACAAAAAAGAAAAAAUAUCUAUAUAUAUAUAUACACAUAUGUAUAUGGGUGUAUCGAGACUAGAUGGUCAGGUUGGAUAACUAAGGUGCACUAAACUUGGGGGAGCAGGCAUGGCAUGUCACCCCAGGUGUGUGAAAAUUAUUUUAUAUAUAUGUAUAUAUAUAUUCCAUCCACCAUCCCUCCUUCACGGAGAACUGCGUUAUUUUUAUUGUCCAUUGCGAAAAAAAACACAAAAAAGAAAAAAUAUCUAUAUAUAUAUAUACACAUAUGUAUAUGGGUGUAUCGAGACUAGAUGGUCAGGUUGGAUAACUAAGGUGCACUAAAAUUGGGGGAGCAGGCAAGGCAUGUCACCCCAGGUGUGUGACAAUUAUUUUAUAUAUAUGUAUAUAUAUAUUCCAUCCACCAUCCCUCCUUCACGGAGAACUGCGUUAUUUUUAUUGUCCAUUGCGAAAAAAAACACAAAAAAGAAAAAAUAUCUAUAUAUAUAUACACAUAUGUAUAUGGGUGUAUCGAGACUAGAUGGUCAGGUUGGAUAACUAAGGUGCACUAAAAUUGGGGGAGCAGGCAAGGCAUGUCACCCCAGGUGUGUGACAAUUAUUUUAUAUAUAUGUAUAUAUAUAUUCCAUCCACCAUCCCUCCUUCACGGAGAACUGCGUUAUUUUUAUUGUCCAUUGCGAAAAAAAACACAAAAAAAGAAGAAAUAUCUAUAUAUAUAUAUAUAUAUAUAUAUAUACACAUAUAUAUAUGGGUGUAUCGAGACUAGAUGGUCAGGUUGGAUAACUAAGGUGCACUAAAAUUGGGGGAGCAGGCAAGGCAUGUCACCCCAGGUGUGUGACAAUUAUUUUAUAUAUAUGUAUAUAUAUAUUCCAUCCACCAUCCCUCCUUCACGGAGAACUGCGUUAUUUUUAUUGUCCAUUGCGAAAAAAAACACAAAAAAAGAAGAAAUAUCUAUAUAUAUAUAUAUAUAUAUAUAUAUAUAUAUAUACACAUAUAUAUAUGGGUGUAUCGAGACUAGAUGGUCAGGUUGGAUAACUAAUGUGCACUAAACUUCGGGGAUCAGGCACGGCAUGUCACCCCAGGUGUGUGAAAAUUAUUUUAUAUAUAUAUGUAUAUAUAUAUAUAUUCCAUCCACCAUCCCUCCUUCACGGAGAACUGCGCUAUUUUUAUUGUCCAUUGCGAAAAAAAACACAAAAAAGAAGAAAUAUGUAUAUAUAUAUAUAUAUACACAUAUAUAUAUGGGUGUAUCGAGACUAGAUGGUCAGGUUGGAUAACUAAGGUGCACUAAAAUUGGGGGAGCAGGCAAGGCAUGUCACCCCAGGUGUGUGACAAUUACUUUAUAUAUAUGUAUAUAUAUAGUCCAUCCACCAUCCCUCCUUUACGGAGAACUGCGUUAUUUUUAUUGUCCAUUGCGAAAAAAAAAACACAAAAAAAGAAGAAAUAUGUAUAUAUAUAUAUAUAUACACAUAUAUAUAUGGGUGUAUCGAGACUAGAUGGUCAGGUUGGAUAACUAAGGUGCACUAAAAUUGGGGGAGCAGGCAAGGCAUGUCACCCCAGGUGAGUGACAAUUAUUUUAUAUAUAUGUAUAUAUAUAUUCCAUCCACCAUCCCUCCUUCACGGAGAACUGCGUUAUUUUUAUUGUCCAUUGCGAAAAAAAACACAAAAAAGAAGAAAUAUCUAUAUAUAUAUAUAUAUAUAUAUAUAUAUAUAUAUAUAUAUAUAUAUAUAUAUAUAUAUAUAUAUACAUAUAUAUAUGGGUGUAUCGAGACUAGAUGGUCAGGUUGGAUAACUAAGGUGCACUAAACUUGGGGGAGCAGGCAUGGCAUGUCACCCCAGGUGUGUGACAAUUAUUUUAUAUAUAUGUAUAUAUAUAUUCCAUCCACCAUCCCUCCUUCACGGAGAACUGCGUUAUUUUUAUUGUCCAUUGCGAAAAAAAAACACAAAAAACGAAGAAAUAUCUAUAUAUAUAUAUAUAUACAUAUAUACACAUAUAUAUAUGGGUGUAUCGAGACUAGAUGGUCAGUAUGGAUAACUAAGGUGCACUAAAAUUGGGGGAGCAGGCAAGGCAUGUCACCCCAGGUGUGUGACAAAUAUUUUAUAUAUAUGUAUAUAUAUUCCCUCCACCGCCCCUCCUUUAAGGAGGACUGCUUAAUUUUAAAUGUCCAUUGCGAAAAAAAAAAAAGAAGAAAUAUCUAUAUAUAUAUAUAUACAUAUAUAUAUAUGGGUGUAUCGAGACUAGAUGGUCAGGUUGGAUAACUAAGGUGCACUAAACUUGGGGGAGCAGGCACGGCAUGUCACCCCAGGUGUGUGAAAAUUAUUUGAUAUAUAUAUGUAUAUAUAUAUAUUCCAUCCACCAUCCCUCCUUCACGGAGAACUGCGUUAUUUUUAUUGUCCAUUGCGAAAAAAAAACACAAAAAAAGAAGAAAUAUCUAUAUAUAUAUAUAUAUAUAUAUAUAUAUAUAUAUAUACACAUAUAUAUAUGGGUGUAUCGAGACUAGAUGGUCAGUAUGGAUAACUAAGGUGCACUAAAAUUGGGGGAGCAGGCAAGGCAUGUCGCCCCAGUUGUGUGACAAUUACUUUAUAUAUAUCUAUAUAUAUAGUCCAUCCACCAUCCCUCCUUUACGGAGAACUGCGUUAUUUUUAUUGUCCAUUGCGAAAAAAAAAAGAAGAAAUAUCUAUAUAUAUAUAUACACAUAUAUAUAUAUGGGUGUAUCGAGACUAGAUGGUCAGGUUGGAUAACUAAGGUGCACUAAACUUGGGGGAGCAGGCACGGCAUGUCACCCCAGGUGUGUGAAAAUUAUUUGAUAUAUAUAUGUAUAUAUAUAUAUUCCAUCCACCAUCCCUCCUUCACGGAGAACUGCGUUAUUUUUAUUGUCCAUUGCGAAAAAAAACACAAAAAAGAAAAAAUAUCUAUAUAUAUAUAUACACAUAUGUAUAUGGGUGUAUCGAGACUAGAUGGUCAGGUUGGAUAACUAAGGUGCACUAAACUUGGGGGAGCAGGCAUGGCAUGUCACCCCAGGUGUGUGAAAAUUAUUUUAUAUAUAUGUAUAUAUAUAUUCCAUCCACCAUCCCUCCUUCACGGAGAACUGCGUUAUUUUUAUUGUCCAUUGCGAAAAAAAACACAAAAAAGAAAAAAUAUCUAUAUAUAUAUAUACACAUAUGUAUAUGGGUGUAUCGAGACUAGAUGGUCAGGUUGGAUAACUAAGGUGCACUAAAAUUGGGGGAGCAGGCAAGGCAUGUCACCCCAGGUGUGUGACAAUUAUUUUAUAUAUAUGUAUAUAUAUAUUCCAUCCACCAUCCCUCCUUCACGGAGAACUGCGUUAUUUUUAUUGUCCAUUGCGAAAAAAAACACAAAAAAGAAAAAAUAUCUAUAUAUAUAUACACAUAUGUAUAUGGGUGUAUCGAGACUAGAUGGUCAGGUUGGAUAACUAAGGUGCACUAAAAUUGGGGGAGCAGGCAAGGCAUGUCACCCCAGGUGUGUGACAAUUAUUUUAUAUAUAUGUAUAUAUAUAUUCCAUCCACCAUCCCUCCUUCACGGAGAACUGCGUUAUUUUUAUUGUCCAUUGCGAAAAAAAACACAAAAAAAGAAGAAAUAUCUAUAUAUAUAUAUAUAUAUAUAUAUAUAUACACAUAUAUAUAUGGGUGUAUCGAGACUAGAUGGUCAGGUUGGAUAACUAAGGUGCACUAAACUUGGGGGAGCAGGCAUGGCAUGUCACCCCAGGUGUGUGACAAAUAUUUUAUAUAUAUGUAUAUAUAUAUUCCAUCCACCAUCCCUCCUUCACGGAGAACUGCGUUAUUUUUAUUGUCCAUUGCGGAAAAAAAACACAAAAAAAGAAGAAAUAUCUAUAUAUAUAUAUAUAUAUAUAUAUAUAUAUAUAUAUAUAUAUAUAUACACAUAUAUAUAUCGGUGUAUCGAGACUAGAUGGUCAGUAUGGAUAACUAAGGUGCACUAAAAUUGGGGGAGCAGGCAAGGCAUGUCACCCCAGGUGUGUGACAAAUAUUUUAUAUAUAUGUAUAUAUAUUCCCUCCACCACCCCUCCUUUAAGGAGGACUGCUUAAUUUUAAAUGUCCAUUGCGAAAAAAAAAACAAAAAAAAAAUCUAUAUAUAUACAUAUAAAUGGGUGUAUCGAGACUAGAUGGUCAGGUUGGAUAACUAAGGUGCACUAAACUUGGGGGAGCAGGCACGGCAUGUCACCCCAGGUGUGUGAAAAUUAUUUGAUAUAUAUAUGUAUAUAUAUAUAUUCCAUCCACCAUCCCUCCUUCACGGAGAACUGCGUUAUUUUUAUUGUCCAUUGCAAAAAAAAACACAAAAAAAAGAAGAAAUAUCUAUAUAUAUAUAUAUAUAUAUAUAUAUAUACACAUAUAUAUAUGGGUGUAUCGAGACUAGAUGGUCAGGUUGGAUAACUAAGGUGCACUAAAAUUGGGGGAGCAGGCAAGGCAUGUCACCCCAGGUGUGUGACAAUUAUUUUAUAUAUAUGUAUAUAUAUAUUCCAUCCACCAUCCCUCCUUCACGGAGAACUGCGUUAUUUUUAUUGUCCAUUGCGAAAAAAAACACAAAAAAGAAAAAAUAUCUAUAUAUAUAUACACAUAUGUAUAUGGGUGUAUCGAGACUAGAUGGUCAGGUUGGAUAACUAAGGUGCACUAAAAUUGGGGGAGCAGGCAAGGCAUGUCACCCCAGGUGUGUGACAAUUAUUUUAUAUAUAUGUAUAUAUAUAUUCCAUCCACCAUCCCUCCUUCACGGAGAACUGCGUUAUUUUUAUUGUCCAUUGCAAAAAAAAACACAAAAAAAAGAAGAAAUAUCUAUAUAUAUAUAUAUAUAUAUAUAUAUAUAUAUAUAUAUAUAUACACAUAUAUAUAUGGGUGUAUCGAGACUAGAUGGUCAGGUUGGAUAACUAAGGUGCACUAAAAUUGGGGCAGCAGGCAAGGCAUGUCACCCCAGGUGUGUGACAAUUACUUUAUAUAUAUGUAUAUAUAUAGUCCAUCCACCAUCCCUCCUUUACGGAGAACUGCGUUAUUUUUAUUGUCCAUUGCGAAAAAA